Molecule: ribosomal RNA, 496 nt
Filed under: uncultured bacterium
Lineage: Bacteria
Description: partial 16S ribosomal RNA
Rfam family: Bacterial small subunit ribosomal RNA
Source: RNAcentral
AUUGAACGCUGGCGGCAUGCCUUACACAUGCAAGUCGAACGGUAGAGGUAGCAAUACCUUGAGAGUGGCGAACGGGUGAGUAAUACAUCGGAACAUGCCCAACUGUGGGGGAUAACGUAGCGAAAGUUACGCUAAUACCGCAUACGAUCUACGGAUGAAAGCGGGGGACCGUAAGGCCUCGCGCAGUUGGAGUGGCUGAUGCCAGAUUAGCUAGUUGGGGGGGUAAAAGCCUACCAAGGCAACGAUCUGUAGCUGGUCUGAGAGGACGACCAGCCACACUGGGACUGAGACACGGCCCAGACUCCUACGGGAGGCAGCAGUGGGGAAUUUUGGACAAUGGACGAAAGUCUGAUCCAGCAAUGCCGCGUGCAGGACGAAGGCCUUCGGGUUGUAAACUGCUUUUGUACGGAGCGAAAAAGUCUUCUUUAAUACAGAGGGCUCAUGACGGUACCGUAAGAAUAAGCACCGGCUAACUACGUGCCAGCCGCCGCAGUAA